UACGUAGGGUGCAAGCGUUGUCCGGAAUUAUUGGGCGUAAAGAGCUCGUAGGCGGUCUGUCGCGUCUGCUGUGAAAACUCAGGGCUUAACCCUGAGCUUGCAGUGGGUACGGGCAGACUAGAGUGCGGUAGGGGAGACUGGAAUCCCUGGUGUAGCGGUGAAAUGCGCAGAUAUCAGGAGGAACACCGGUGGCGAAGGCGGGUCUCUGGGCCGUACCUGACGCUGAGGAGCGAAAGCGUGGGGAGCGAACAGG
This 253-nucleotide ribosomal RNA is filed under the name uncultured bacterium. RNAcentral describes it as "partial 16S ribosomal RNA". It matches the Rfam family "Bacterial small subunit ribosomal RNA", at positions 524 to 776 of the family's 1533-position model. The record is from RNAcentral.